ACAUGCCUACAACAUAGAGUUAAUGCACCAGACCCCAUUAGAACUCCGCAGUUAAGCUUGCUCAGGCUAGAGUAGUACUGGGAUGGGUGACUGCCCAGGAAGUCCUUGUGUUUUACAUGCC
Molecule: non-coding RNA, 121 nt
Organism: Picea glauca (white spruce)
Lineage: Eukaryota; Viridiplantae; Streptophyta; Pinopsida; Pinales; Pinaceae
Source: Rfam